AGAGUUUGAUCAUGGCUCAGGACGAACGCUGGCGGCGCGCUUAACACAUGCAAGUCGAGCGAGAACCAAGCCUUCGGGCUUGGGGACAGCGGCGAACGGGUGAGUAACACGUGGGGUAAUCAACCCUUGACACAGGGAUAGCCCGGGGAAACCCGGAUUAAUACCGGAUACUCCAUCUGGCUUUCGGGCCGGCUGGAAAAGGUAGCUUCGGCCUCCGGUCAGGGACGAGCCCGCGGCGGAUUAGCUUGUUGGUGGGGUAAUGGCCCACCAAGGCGACGAUCCGUAGCUGGUCUGAGAGGACGAUCAGCCACACUGGGACUGAGACACGGCCCAGACUCCUACGGGAGGCAGCAGUGGGGAAUCUUGCGCAAUGGGCGAAAGCCUGACGCAGCGACGCCGCGUGAGGGAAGAAGGCCUUCGGGUUGUAAACCUCUUUCAGGAGGGACGAAGCCACUCGGGUUAAUAGCCCAGAGGGUGACGGUACCUCCAGAAGAAGCCCCGGCUAACUACGUGCCAGCAGCCGCGGUAAUACGUAGGGGGCAAGCGUUGUCCGGAUUUAUUGGGCGUAAAGAGCGUGUAGGCGGCUAUACAGGUCAGCUGUGAAAACUCGAGGCUCAACCUCGAGACGUCGGUUGAAACCGUAUGGCUAGAGUCCGGAAGAGGAGAGUGGAAUUCCCGGUGUAGCGGUGAAAUGCGCAGAUAUCGGGAAGAACACCUAUGGCGAAGGCAGCUCUCUGGGACGGUACUGACGCUGAGACGCGAAAGCGUGGGGAGCAAACAGGAUUAGAUACCCUAGUAGUCC
This 802-nucleotide ribosomal RNA is filed under the name uncultured bacterium. RNAcentral's name for it is "bacterial SSU rRNA". It matches the Rfam family "Bacterial small subunit ribosomal RNA", at positions 8 to 796 of the family's 1533-position model. The record is from RNAcentral.